AAAUUGAAGAGUUUGAUCAUGGCUCAGAUUGAACGCUGGCGGCAGGCCUAACACAUGCAAGUCGAACGGUAACAGGAAGCAGCUUGCUGCUUUGCUGACGAGUGGCGGACGGGUGAGUAAUGUCUGGGAAACUGCCUGAUGGAGGGGGAUAACUACUGGAAACGGUGGCUAAUACCGCAUAACGUCGCAAGACCAAAGAGGGGGACCUUCGGGCCUCUUGCCAUCAGAUGUGCCCAGAUGGGAUUAGCUAGUUGGUGAGGUAACGGCUCACCAAGGCGACGAUCCCUAGCUGGUCUGAGAGGAUGACCAGCCACACUGGAACUGAGACACGGUCCAGACUCCUACGGGAGGCAGCAGUGGGGAAUAUUGCACAAUGGGCGCAAGCCUGAUGCAGCCAUGCCGCGUGUAUGAAGAAGGCCUUCGGGUUGUAAAGUACUUUCAGCGGGGAGGAAGGUGUUGUGGUUAAUAACCUCAGCAAUUGACGUUACCCGCAGAAGAAGCACCGGCUAACUCCGUGCCAGCAGCCGCGGUAAUACGGAGGGUGCAAGCGUUAAUCGGAAUUACUGGGCGUAAAGCGCACGCAGGCGGUCUGUCAAGUCGGAUGUGAAAUCCCCGGGCUCAACCUGGGAACUGCAUUCGAAACUGGCAGGCUUGAGUCUUGUAGAGGGGGGUAGAAUUCCAGGUGUAGCGGUGAAAUGCGUAGAGAUCUGGAGGAAUACCGGUGGCGAAGGCGGCCCCCUGGACAAAGACUGACGCUCAGGUGCGAAAGCGUGGGGAGCAAACAGGAUUAGAUACCCUGGUAGUCCACGCCGUAAACGAUGUCUACUUGGAGGUUGUGCCCUUGAGGCGUGGCUUCCGGAGCUAACGCGUUAAGUAGACCGCCUGGGGAGUACGGCCGCAAGGUUAAAACUCAAAUGAAUUGACGGGGGCCCGCACAAGCGGUGGAGCAUGUGGUUUAAUUCGAUGCAACGCGAAGAACCUUACCUGGUCUUGACAUCCACGGAAGUUUUCAGAGAUGAGAAUGUGCCUUCGGGAACCGUGAGACAGGUGCUGCAUGGCUGUCGUCAGCUCGUGUUGUGAAAUGUUGGGUUAAGUCCCGCAACGAGCGCAACCCUUAUCCUUUGUUGCCAGCGGUCCGGCCGGGAACUCAAAGGAGACUGCCAGUGAUAAACUGGAGGAAGGUGGGGAUGACGUCAAGUCAUCAUGGCCCUUACGACCAGGGCUACACACGUGCUACAAUGGCGCAUACAAAGAGAAGCGACCUCGCGAGAGCAAGCGGACCUCAUAAAGUGCGUCGUAGUCCGGAUUGGAGUCUGCAACUCGACUCCAUGAAGUCGGAAUCGCUAGUAAUCGUGGAUCAGAAUGCCACGGUGAAUACGUUCCCGGGCCUUGUACACACCGCCCGUCACACCAUGGGAGUGGGUUGCAAAAGAAGUAGGUAGCUUAACCUUCGGGAGGGCGCUUACCACUUUGUGAUUCAUGACUGGGGUGAAGUCGUAACAAGGUAACCGUAGGGGAACCUGCGGUUGGAUCACCUCCUUACCUUAAAGAAGC
RNAcentral lists this ribosomal RNA (1554 nucleotides) under Salmonella enterica. Its description in RNAcentral is "bacterial SSU rRNA". It matches the Rfam family "Bacterial small subunit ribosomal RNA". Lineage: Bacteria; Pseudomonadati; Pseudomonadota; Gammaproteobacteria; Enterobacterales; Enterobacteriaceae. The record is from RNAcentral.